AUGAUGUCUAGCAAGGAACACUGGGCCAAAAUUGUUAGAGCUAGAGUUCCCAGAGAGCGUGGGACAAUUAAUCAUCAUAUAUUCCCAACCCUCCGUGCAUCCCUUCGUCCUGACACAACUCGUUCUCUUUCCUGGCUCAAGACUUGGAGUUAUGUACCAAGUAUGGCAGUGAUAUGGAUAAGGUUAUUUGGCCUAAUUCUGAUGAUGGCAAGGAACUCUGCUAGGUUCCUCAAUAUCACCCCUACUUUCAACAACAGUCUUUCCGAAAUUAAAGCUCAAAUCAUCUUGUCUAGUAACAAAUCUUUGUUUCGAUCCUCCUCCUCUUUAUUUGACUUUAAACUUCUCAAAUUUUUCAAUGUUAAUCUGCAUCCUCCUAAAGCUCUUGUGAUGAAGGAAUUUAUUUGGCAACCCCCUAAUAGAUCUUAG
Vicia faba (fava bean) is the source of this 426-nucleotide non-coding RNA. NCBI's taxonomy places the organism in Eukaryota, Viridiplantae, Streptophyta, Magnoliopsida, Fabales, Fabaceae. The record is from the annotation of a GenBank genome assembly.